Molecule: ribosomal RNA, 497 nt
Filed under: uncultured bacterium
Lineage: Bacteria
Description: partial 16S ribosomal RNA
Rfam family: Bacterial small subunit ribosomal RNA
Source: RNAcentral
GACGAACGCUGGCGGCGUGCCUAAUACAUGCAAGUUGAGCGCUGAAGGUUGGUACUUGUACCGACUGGAUGAGCAGCGAACGGGUGAGUAACGCGUGGGGAAUCUGCCUUUGAGCGGGGGACAACAUUUGGAAACGAAUGCUAAUACCGCAUAAAAACUUUAAACACAAGUUUUAAGUUUGAAAGAUGCAAUUGCAUCACUCAAAGAUGAUCCCGCGUUGUAUUAGCUAGUUGGUGAGGUAAAGGCUCACCAAGGCGAUGAUACAUAGCCGACCUGAGAGGGUGGUCGGCCACAUUGGGACUGAGACACGGCCCAAACUCCUACGGGAAGCAGCAGUAGGGAAUCUUCGGCAAUGGACGAAAGUCUGACCGAGCAACGCCGCGUGAGUGAAGAAGGUUUUCGGAUCGUAAAACUCUGUUGGUAGAGAAGAACGUUGGUGAGAGUGGAAAGCUCAUCAAGUGACGGUAACUACCCAGAAAGGGACGGCUAACUACGUG